UAUCUGCACAGUAGUUUUUGUUGCCUUCCUUAGCUUGUUGGGUACCUGUUUAUUUUCUGUUUAGGAGGACCGAUUUGUCCUGAGGUUGUGUCCUUUCUCAAGGAAUUUUUUGUUCCUAUCUGAUACUAGCAGACAAAUUGGUUGCAGGGUAGCCGGGGUAGGUCUUUCUGCAUAUGCAUUUGAAUAUGAGAUGUCUCAAGAUUGUUGGUCUACUUCUUUUGGUCUUAUACUGACUCUGUCUUUGGUCAGGACAACUUGGAACAACUUGUGUGUCCCUCUCAGAUUCCUACAGAAGAAAGGAUGCAUUUUCUUUUCUAUUGGAUGGACAACAACAUAACCACAACAAUAGGUCUAUCAGAAGAAGCAGGAGCGAAGCAAAGGCAGGAUUCCAUGAUGAGUUUGGAGUUUACCCUCUGUUCUUGGAAAUUGAAAUUGUCUCUCAUGCGAGCGGCGACCUUUUCUUAGCCAUGUGGCAUGCCGCUCCAAGCCACUCCGCUUUCCAUCAAUGCCGACAACCACAGCAGGGGUGGAUCCAGCCGACAAGAGGCAGAGCGGCGGUCAAUGGUGGUGGCCUGCUCCCAAGCUGCAGUGCUUUGGAGAAGAUGAACAUGAGGCCCCAACCUGCACUGGCAUAGCUAGGCAGGGGAGUAUCCUUCCACUUGACAUUUCCUUCUCAGUUUUGUAUGUUUAAUUUUUAGAGCUGUGGUUACUCUGAAAACUGAGAUGUGGAGAUUGCGGUAUUGAUCUUAGUUCAAUCCAUUCUAUUACGUAGCCUCGCUUUGUUAUCCAUGAUUUCCCUCAUUUGAUUGAUUUGACACAUGUUCAUUCACUACAUUAUAGUCUACUUCGUGUAUUUAGUUCUAGGUUGUUUUGAUCUAAGUGGUACUUGGAUUUCUUGGCAUUGUUCAUUGCCUCGAGCCAUGUCUGAUACUGAAUUUGACCAUGAUCCUCUUGUAGUAAAUAUGACUUAUUUGCUCUCUAUUGGAAUAUUUCUUUUCACAUAUUGCUAGCUCCUUAGGUGUAAUGUUGUUUAAAAUAUUUGUCCUGGAGCUCCUUUGCUCCUGUUCUUGGUGUAGAUAAACCAAAACUGCUCCUUUUAGGCCAUCCAAGAGUCUUAAACGACCAACAUUGUAAUUAGCAUAUGUGGACAGUUACGCUACAAUGCCCCCAAUUAUUUUUCAGUGAUAACUCUUGCUCCAAAUUUUGCUUUUCGGGAGGUGGUUGAGGUAGAGAUUGUUGUGUUGUGGCAGUGCACACUACGGUGCCGGGUUGCAUAGGGGCAUGCCCUUUCUUAGUAUUCAAAUAUCAUGUACUAAUUGUGUUUUCACUUUGUAUUGCUUACUCACAGAUGUCACCGGAAGCGUCAUGGUUAUUUCUUAAGCUCACCAAAUAUUUCUCUUCAUAUUUUGUAUGUCUGACAACUUCCCGUUACACAGUUCUGCUUUUGGCUGGACAAGCUGUCUACUCUCUGGUCUAUUCUUAAAUAGGCAUGUUGGUCUUUUCUAACAUAACCAGCCUGCCAUUUCUAUUACUCGCAGAACAUUUCACUUUCUGUCAAUAAGCAUUUAUCUCUAUUCUAACUUGGUGUAAAGUAGCCUUGAUGAUGUGUGGAGGCGGUCUGCUCAGUGUAAGAACAAAUAGUUGGUGGCUCCCAUUUUUAUCUCAUUUCGUAAAUCAGUGUAAGGACUGUUAGUAAGGUUGAUCAUCGGCAAGCGAAAGUGCUUCGUGGAUGCUUGCACGACCAAGCCCUUCAAGCUCCCAGAGUGCAAACACCAUGAGAUAGGGAUGUGAAACGGAAGGAAAGAAGGCCCUGACCACUCUCAUCAUUUACUCAAAUAAUAACACUUAUCGGCGAUAGGAACGACAAGUUGACGCAGCUGACGGCGAUCCUCGGCAGCGAGACAAGUGUAUGGAAAAUUCAGUUUCUUUAGUGAACUCAGUUGAACCUUGCAAUUGGACAGCUUUUGGGAGUUGGUCCAAACUUAAUGCAUUCAUGGGAUCACCAAUUUUUGGCGAUGGUUGAGAUUGGAUCGUUUCUUGGUGGCUGCUAAUGAAUCAUGUAAGGAUGGUGCAGAAUUCAUCAGAGGAAAAAGACCGAACUACGGAGUUUCCCCAUUGUUAGAGCUCUUGGUGCCCGGACAAGCCCUCUAUCUCGAUUCUCCCUUCGCAGCUCAGCUCCACCGACCAGAAGGCGAUGGCUGACGAAGAGCUCGAUGUCCAUGGCUCGUUAGGUUCCGCUGGCUCCACUAACAACCGUCUACGGGCGCUUGCACAGGAUACCAAGCGAGUGUUUAGGAUCCCACACCGGGCAUUUCUUGACAUGCUCCUAGCACACCUUACGCUAAUCACCGGCUCUGUAUGAUCGUGUUGUACAUGACGACGGCAAGAUUGUGUGACCAUCUUUUUCAACACCUCUACAUUGGAUCUUGGAGGACCAAUCAGUAUGAACGCGUCGUGUCGUCAUUCCUCCUGGUCUACAUUAUGCCCAAGACAUGCAAAGUUGUGGAUUGUCUGUAAGCUACCAUGUGCUUUUGUACGUCCUAUGCCUGUGAUAUUUGCUACUAAACCUAUUGUGCUACGUGCUUUCUAUGUUCAUACAUUGUUAGGUGGCUCCUUAUUGUGUGCAUACAAACAA
Triticum aestivum (bread wheat) is the source of this 2635-nucleotide long non-coding RNA. RefSeq lists it as uncharacterized. NCBI's taxonomy places the organism in Eukaryota, Viridiplantae, Streptophyta, Magnoliopsida, Poales, Poaceae. The transcript is spliced from 11 exons. The record is from RefSeq and is a predicted model, not a curated record.